Molecule: ribosomal RNA, 497 nt
Filed under: uncultured bacterium
Lineage: Bacteria
Description: partial 16S ribosomal RNA
Rfam family: Bacterial small subunit ribosomal RNA
Source: RNAcentral
GAUGAACGCUGGCGGCGUGCCUAAUACAUGCAAGUCGAGCGAACAGACGAGGAGCUUGCUCCUCUGACGUUAGCGGCGGACGGGUGAGUAGCACGUGGAUAACCUACCUAUAAGACUGGGAUAACUUUGGGAAACCGGAGCUAAUACCGGAUAAUAUAUUGAACCGCAUGGUUCAAUAGUGAAAGACGGUUUUGCUGUCACUUAUAGAUGGAUCCGCGCCGCAUUAGCUAGUUGGUAAGGUAACGGCUUACCAAGGCGACGAUGCGUAGCCGACCUGAGAGGGUGAUCGGCCACACUGGAACUGAGACACGGUCCAGACUCCUACGGGAGGCAGCAGUAGGGAAUCUUCCGCAAUGGGCGAAAGCCUGACGGAGCAACGCCGCGUGAGUGAUGAAGGUCUUCGGAUCGUAAAACUCUGUUAUUAGGGAAGAACAAAUGUGUAAGUAACUAUGCACGUCUUGACGGUACCUAAUCAGAAAGCCACGGCUAACUACGUG